UGGCUUAGUACGGCCUAGUGUCUCCUAGUU
RNAcentral lists this non-coding RNA (30 nucleotides) under Rattus norvegicus (Norway rat). Lineage: Eukaryota; Metazoa; Chordata; Mammalia; Rodentia; Muridae. The record is from RNAcentral.